GACGAACGCUGGCGGCGUGCUUAACACAUGCAAGUCGAACGGAAAGGCCCUGCUUUUGUGGGGUGCUCGAGUGGCGAACGGGUGAGUAACACGUGAGUAACCUGCCCUUGACUUUGGGAUAACUUCAGGAAACUGGGGCUCAUACCGGAUAGGAGCUCCUGCUGCAUGGUGGGGGUUGGAAAGUUUCGGCGGUUGGGGAUGGACUCGCGGCUUAUCAGCUUGUUGGUGGGGUAGUGGCUUACCAAGGCUUUGACGGGUAGCCGGCCUGAGAGGGUGACCGGCCACAUUGGGACUGAGAUACGGCCCAGACUCCUACGGGAGGCAGCAGGGGGGAAUAUUGCACAAUGGGCGGAAGCCUGAUGCAGCAACGCCGCGUGCGGGAUGACGGCCUUCGGGUUGUAAACCGCUGUCGCCUGUGACGAAGCGUGAGUGACGGUAAUGGGUAAAGAAGCACCGGCUAACUACGUG
Molecule: ribosomal RNA, 468 nt
Filed under: uncultured bacterium
Lineage: Bacteria
Description: partial 16S ribosomal RNA
Rfam family: Bacterial small subunit ribosomal RNA
Source: RNAcentral